UACGUAGGUGGCAAGCGUUAUCCGGAUUUACUGGGUGUAAAGGGCGUGCAGGCGGGAAAGCAAGUCAGAUGUGAAAACCACGGGCUCAACCUGUGGCCUGCAUUUGAAACUGUUUUUCUUGAGUACUGGAGAGGCAGACGGAAUUCCUCGUGUAGCGGUGAAAUGCGUAGAUAUGAGGAGGAACACCAGUGGCGAAGGCGGUCUGCUGGACAGCAACUGACGCUGAGGCGCGAAAGCGUGGGGAGCAAACAGG
Molecule: ribosomal RNA, 253 nt
Filed under: uncultured bacterium
Lineage: Bacteria
Description: partial 16S ribosomal RNA
Rfam family: Bacterial small subunit ribosomal RNA
Source: RNAcentral